GCUCGUCUUGGAUCCAAGUAGGUGGAUGUCGUACAGACCAUGCGAGGGUUCCGACAUGCUAGUCGUACAGAUCACUAGGCGUGAUUCGACUAGUGGGUGACCUUAGUUAUGCGCUGAUGAUAUGAUGAGAGAAGCACUAGAGCGUAUUUUUACACCUUCAUCGUAUAGACUACCUUACGUAGUUCCGAGUGAUGUGCAGAGUAGGGCGUAUAGGUCACUGUGGUGACUCGGCUUAGUGAGAUAUUGAGCUAUUGAAUUAAUCGUAUAGGACCAACUGCAGGGUCUCCGAUUGAUUCCUUAUUUUCACCUGAUUUAUAUUUUGAUUAUGGCAUGGC
RNAcentral lists this long non-coding RNA (335 nucleotides) under Malus domestica (apple). Its description in RNAcentral is "long non-coding RNA (MDOM_LNC021067)". The record is from RNAcentral. Lineage: Eukaryota; Viridiplantae; Streptophyta; Magnoliopsida; Rosales; Rosaceae.